This is a long non-coding RNA of Clupea harengus (Atlantic herring), 1082 nucleotides long. NCBI's taxonomy places the organism in Eukaryota, Metazoa, Chordata, Actinopteri, Clupeiformes, Clupeidae. The record is from Ensembl.
CUACCAUAAAGUUGUCCCCCCCAACAAUCAUUGAAAAAAAAAAAAUUCAGAUUUUUUUGAAUUUUUUUUUUUUAAAUAAAAAUACGACGACACAAGCGGUGCUAAUUAUAGACGUAAAAAAUGUGUUUUUUAAGUGUUGAAAAAUCAUGUUCCGCCUAUUCCUCAAAGUGGUUUGGUUCACAUGCUGUUUCCAACGGGCAGGGCUACAGGCAGCUCCGUGUUUCAGUUAAUCAGCCCAGUAGCACACGGUCAGAUUGUCAGACUGUUUCCUCCUCUCUCCCCUGUCGCUGCAGCUAUGAUACACGAUAUGUAAAGAGAUCUACCUCAUUCUCGAACGCAUCACCCCACUGAUAGGGAGAAUCAUAACUCCCGAAGGCGGGACAGAGGCCAGGGAAUACCAGUGUGUCGCCGAUGCCAACUCCGCACCAACAAGCUUCGUGUGGAGAUACCAGGGCCAGGCCUUGCCUGAUGGUGUGAGACCCGAGGGGGACAGACUGCACUUCCUCGAGUUGAACUCUGACCUUAACGGCGAGUAUAGCUGUGAGGUCACAAACCCAUAUGGGACGGCUGUGUACUCCAUAUAUCGCCACAUAGUUGACCCCGACGACACCCACAAUGAACUUUGACUGCUGCCCUGAUUUGUCAUUGUGGCUUUCUCUGGACCUGGCUGAAGAAGUCCAAAGUAUCAUGUCUGGCUCAAGUCUGGCUCUGGCUUGUAAUAUACUAGACUUCACAUGCAUAUACUUUCAUUCAUAUACUUGCUUUAUGCAUUAUUUAUUUAUCUUUGAUAUUCCAUCCAUUGCAAGCAGCUUCUUAGCCAAAUCCCAGUGCACUUGAGUGAUGUUAGAACAUACACACCUUCCUCUAUAAUGAGAGGUAUCCAUGAGUGCAUGCACAACUCAAAAUAGAUUGGCUACAGUAAAUAGUGAAAAAUGAAAAAUAUAAGCAGCCUCAUGUAAUGCACAGUAUGGUGUAUGAAUAAUGACAAUGUUAUAUAAUCCUAUAUAUUUGUAAGUUACUUGAAGUCAUUGCUCUUUGUCAUUUGCUCUUUGCCGUUUUGUGCUAUUGCAUUUCAAUAAAUA